This 316-nucleotide ribosomal RNA is filed under the name uncultured beta proteobacterium. Its description in RNAcentral is "bacterial SSU rRNA". It matches the Rfam family "Bacterial small subunit ribosomal RNA", at positions 461 to 776 of the family's 1533-position model. The record is from RNAcentral. Lineage: Bacteria; Pseudomonadati; Pseudomonadota; Betaproteobacteria.
UAGGGCGGUUGACGGUACCCGAUGAAUAAGCACCGGCUAACUACGUGCCAGCAGCCGCGGUAAUACGUAGGGUGCGAGCGUUAAUCGGAAUUGCUGGGCGUAAAGUGUGCGCAGGCGGCUGAGCAAGUCGAGUGUGAAAGCCCCGGGCUUAACUUGGGAAUUGCGCUCGAAACUACUUGGCUGGAGUGUGGCAGAGGAAGGUGGAAUUCCACGUGUAGCGGUGAAAUGCGUAGAGAUGUGGAGGAACACCAAUGGCGAAGGCAGCCUUCUGGGCCAACACUGACGCUCAUGCACGAAAGCGUGGGGAGCAAACAGG